GCUGUUUUUCUGACAAGAGUUACUUAGUGUACAUCCUUGUUUACAAGAAAUCCUUGAUUCAGCUAUGCUAAUCAUUCCUUCCGCUGAGAUGUACUGGCAAUGGCCCUUGAUUCAACCUCGCCAGGUGUAACUGCCAGAUAGUCUACACAUUCUCCUCUAGAUGGACUCCACUCUGCUGUUCUACUUCUCCAAUUUCAGUGUGUUAUUUCUAGGUUUCAGAAGUGAAAGUCCCAAGACUCUGCAACCCCUCAGCUCCAAGAGGGAUGGCCUUUGGCUAAACCUUUGGUUAAGGUUCCCUGGUCAUAUUCUGAGAAAUAUUACUGGAUUCAUAUUGGGUUUAAGAAGAUGGCUGUCACCUUGCCUGUGGGGUUCUAACCACUUAAGGUGAGUUAAAGUAGAGAAGGAAAGUCCUAAGGAGAGCUGCAUCUCCAACAUGCACAGACUUAUUUAGAGCCUCUCUCUCUCUCUCUCUCUCUCUCUCUCUCUCUCUCUCUCUCUCUCUCCAUUUCCCCACAAUAUUUAGUCAAUUAUUAUUUUUAAUUGAAACAUAAUAAUUCUGUAUAUUUCUGGGGCAUGAUGUUUUAAUGAGUACUUAUUUAUGUUUCAUGUAUAUUUUUUCAUUUAUGCUUGUGCGCCGAGUACUUGCAGUUUUAGUGGAUACCAGAAAAGGAUAUUAAAUUCCCUGGAACUAGAGCCAGACAGAGAUGAUUCUGAGCUGCCAGGAAUGUUUUGCCUGCAUCUAUGCAUGUUUACCACAUGUGUGCCUGGUACCUGAGAAGGGAAGGAGAGAACACUGGAUAACCUGGACAUGACUGCAGUUGUGAACCUGAACCGUGGUCCUCUCCAAGAUCAGCAGAAGCUCUUAAUCACAACGUAGUUCCUCUCCAGUUCCUCACCUUCACUGUUAUAACAGUUACACUUGGUCAGUAUUCUGCCACAGUCCAAUAUAGUCUAUAAAGUACAUUUCCUAUGGGCUUA
Molecule: non-coding RNA, 978 nt
Organism: Rattus norvegicus (Norway rat)
Lineage: Eukaryota; Metazoa; Chordata; Mammalia; Rodentia; Muridae
Source: RefSeq, a predicted model, not a curated record